CUACGUGCCAGCAGCCGCGGUAAUACGUGGGGUGCGAGCGUUAAUCGGAAUUACUGGGCGUAAAGCGAGCGCAGACGGUUACUUAAGCAGGAUGUGAAAUCCCCGGGCUCAACCUGGGAACUGCGUUCUGAACUGGGUGACUAGAGUGUGUCAGAGGGAGGUAGAAUUCCACGUGUAGCAGUGAAAUGCGUAGAGAUGUGGAGGAAUACCGAUGGCGAAGGCAGCCUCCUGGGAUAACACUGACGUUCAUGCUCGAAAGCGUGGGUAGCAAACAGGAUUAGAUACCCUGGUAGUCCACGCCCUAAACGAUGUCAAUUAGCUGUUGGGCAACUUGAUUGCUUAGUAGCGUAGCUAACGCGUGAAAUUGACCGCCUGGGGAGUACGGUCGCAAGAUUAAAACUCAAAGGAAUUGACGGGGACCCGCACAAGCGGUGGAUGAUGUGGAUUAAUUCGAUGCAACGCGAAGAACCUUACCUGGUCUUGACAU
RNAcentral lists this ribosomal RNA (487 nucleotides) under uncultured bacterium. RNAcentral's name for it is "bacterial SSU rRNA". It matches the Rfam family "Bacterial small subunit ribosomal RNA", at positions 501 to 987 of the family's 1533-position model. The record is from RNAcentral.